UACCUACUCCCUCCGUCCCAAAAUAAGUGACUCAAAACUGACUCAAUUUUGUACUAAAGUUGAGUCAUUUUUGAGUCACUUAUUUUGGAACGGAGGGAGUACUAU
Non-coding RNA from Triticum aestivum (bread wheat), 105 nucleotides. The record is from Rfam. NCBI's taxonomy places the organism in Eukaryota, Viridiplantae, Streptophyta, Magnoliopsida, Poales, Poaceae.